UGGGGAAUUUUGGACAAUGGGCGAAAGCCUGAUCCAGCAAUGCCGCGUGUGUGAAGAAGGCCUUCGGGUUGUAAAGCACUUUUGUCCGGAAAGAAAUGGCUCUGGUUAAUACCUGGGGUCGAUGACGGUACCGGAAGAAUAAGGACCGGCUAACUACGUGCCAGCAGCCGCGGUAAUACGUAGGGUCCAAGCGUUAAUCGGAAUUACUGGGCGUAAAGCGUGCGCAGGCGGUUGUGCAAGACCGAUGUGAAAUCCCCGAGCUUAACUUGGGAAUUGCAUUGGUGACUGCACGGCUAGAGUGUGUCAGAGGGGGGUUAGAAUUCCACGUGUAGCAGUGAAAUGCGUAGAGAUGUGGAGGAAUACCGAUGGCGAAGGCAGCCCCCUGGGACAACACUGACGCUCAUGCACGAAAGCGUGGGGAGCAAACAGGAUUAGAUACCCUGGUAGUCCACGCCCUAAACGAUGUCAACUAGUUGUUGGGGAUUCAUUUCCUUAGUAACGUAGCUAACGCGUGAAGUUGACCGCCUGGGGAGUACGGUCGCAAGAUUAAAAGCUCAAAUGAAUUUGACGGGGG
Molecule: ribosomal RNA, 574 nt
Filed under: uncultured bacterium
Lineage: Bacteria
Description: partial 16S ribosomal RNA
Rfam family: Bacterial small subunit ribosomal RNA
Source: RNAcentral